AUUCUGCUUGUUGGUCCGGGGAUAGACCA
RNAcentral lists this non-coding RNA (29 nucleotides) under Homo sapiens (human). The record is from RNAcentral. Lineage: Eukaryota; Metazoa; Chordata; Mammalia; Primates; Hominidae.